GCAAACAAGACUACAGAAGCCAAGAGCAUGCCAGGGGAGUAUCAGCCAGAACAUAUGACUGGCCCCUUUUAUCUGCUUUUUACCAGUUUUCCUUCUCAAUUAUACCACGGGUUGCAUUUUUAAAAACAAUAGAUAUGGAGAUUAAUAUCAUUUGAAGUUGUUAGAAAAGGGAGCUGAAAGGAAACUGAGGGACGUGCCCAGGUGUGUAUCAGCCAAUCCCUUGAGUAAACCAGGAGAAAGCAGAGGAAAAUGAGGAAGGCUUUCCUUUUAAUCAACUGAGCUGAAUCAGGCAGAGGCUAUAUGCAAGCAUCAGCAAAACCAACUUGGAUUCCUAAGAGAAGUCAAGAAAGCACACUCUUGCCCUCCUGGACACUGGUUGAGUUGAACCCUAGAAGAUGACUGGAGUGGGCAUGCUCUCUGGAAUGUACUUGUGAGGGCCAGUGCUCUGGCUGCCACUCUGGACCGUGAGGAUGAGACCAGGCCGUGGAGAUGACAGAAUGGUUCUACCCACUUCCUUCCCCCUCCUUCUUUCUACUUGUCCUGCUGAUGGGAGACCAGAAGGUGCAGCAUCUCUAUCGCAAUCAUAAGGCAACAGGCAUGGAUGGAGUCGGCACCUCAGGAUUCACCCCCCCCCCCCCAGCAGCUGCACAGGACUGUAUCGCGAGACUUCUGCUGUGUGAAAACAAACCCCUGUGUGUUAAGCAAACAUCAGCUGGCUUUCCUUGUUCCCUCCAGCCCUCCUCUUACUGAUGUAGAACUUACACAACACAACAUGGCUCCUUUGAAUGUCUUUAUCUCUUAGUGUGACACCUGGGAGUCAAGAGUUGACAUCAGGCCUAGGCGACCUCAGAGCUGGUCUUCUCACAGUAUUGUUCUGUGGAAACUCCCAAGGGUGGACAGAUGGCGACUGUUAAGUCUGUGAGGUCCCCAACUGGGGAGACUUCAUCGGUCGGGGGAGCUGAGUGGGCAUGCAGGCCCUGAGCCUACAGGGUGAGGGUGGUACCAAAGAUUGGUGGGGGACCAAGGUGCUCUGUGCUUCUCUGUGUCAAGGUGACCCCCACUCACCUUGACUCCCACCAUUGGCUGUCAUACAUGUCCCAUGUGGGUGAGAAGGUAGAAGAAGCUGUGCCAUUGGGUGGGUGCUGGGCCUCCAGGGGAGCGAAAAAUGCUACACCGGUAUCCCCAGCUCUGUAUCCUUCCAUAAAGCUGCAGAAACAUGGUACCAGGUCAAAGCCUCUGUGUCUUGGGAUCUGACUACCCACCAACCUGGACCCAUAACCACGACUAUGCCAGAUCAUGACCCAGCUGAUUUUGUUAAGACAGAUCGGCAACACUUUGUUCCCCCAUUAGCAAUAAUUAUUUUAUUAAUCUCUAUAUGGUCUUUUGUGUUGCCUCAAAUAUUUUUUUGGAUGGGUGGGAGUGUAAACGAUCUUAGUAAGUACAAGUAAAAAGCUUUCUACUCAAUGGCAAUCAUUUUGUUACAACUGAAGAGUGUUGGCUCUUGAGGAUGAGAUGGCGGGAGGGGUAUGGUGAGGGGCUGUGUGGUGAGGGCCCAUCCAGGAGGAGUGGGCCUGGAGGUAGAACGGAGAAAUGAAGACGGCGCGGGACUGGAAGUCGGGGAGACCUGAAAAGAAGUCCACAUGCUACCAUUACAGCUGCAGAGUCUUGAGGGCUUUAUUUAGACCUCCUGUGUCUCAAUGACCUCUUCAGUAGGUUGGGAAUAAGCCUCUGUGUAGAUGAAAUGAAACAGUAUAGAUAAAACAUCGAGCCUAGUCCGGGCC
Molecule: long non-coding RNA, 1781 nt
Organism: Felis catus (domestic cat)
Lineage: Eukaryota; Metazoa; Chordata; Mammalia; Carnivora; Felidae
Exons: 4
Source: RefSeq, a predicted model, not a curated record